This 630-nucleotide ribosomal RNA is filed under the name uncultured delta proteobacterium. RNAcentral describes it as "bacterial SSU rRNA". It matches the Rfam family "Bacterial small subunit ribosomal RNA", at positions 58 to 670 of the family's 1533-position model. Lineage: Bacteria; Deltaproteobacteria. The record is from RNAcentral.
CAAGUCGAGCGCGAAUGGAGCAAUCCUAGUAGAGCGGCGCACGGGUGAGUAACACGUGGGUAAUCUGCCUGGAAGCCCGGGACAACCUGCCGAAAGGCUGGCUAAUACCGGAUAAGCCCACAGGGUCCUUGGACCCCGAGGGAAAAGAUGGCCUCUGCAUGCAAGCUAUCACUUCCAGAUGAGCCCGCGACCCAUCAGCUAGUUGGCGGGGUAAUGGCCCACCAAGGCAACGACGGGUAGCUGGUCUGAGAGGACGAUCAGCCACACUGGAACUGAGACACGGUCCAGACUCCUACGGGAGGCAGCAGUGGGGAAUUUUGCGCAAUGGGCGAAAGCCUGACGCAGCAACGCCGCGUGUGUGAUGAAGGUCUUCGGAUCGUAAAGCACUUUCGACUGGGACGAAAACCCGCUGGCUAACAUCCAGCGGUCUGACGGUACCGGGAGAAGAAGCACCGGCUAACUCUGUGCCAGCAGCCGCGGUAAUACAGAGGGUGCAAGCGUUGUUCGGAAUUAUUGGGCGUAAAGCGCGUGUAGGCGGCUUUGCAAGUCGGGUGUGAAAGCCCUCGGCUCAACCGAGGAAGUGCGCCCGAAACUGCAUGGCUCGAGUCCCGGAGAGGAUGGCGGAAUUCC